RNAcentral lists this transfer RNA (69 nucleotides) under Benthonectes filipes. RNAcentral's name for it is "tRNA-Lys". The record is from RNAcentral. Lineage: Eukaryota; Metazoa; Arthropoda; Malacostraca; Decapoda; Benthesicymidae.
CACCAGGUGACUGAAAGUAAGUGUAGGUCUUUUAAACCUAUAAUAGUAAUUAACGCUCACUCCUGGUGA